CACGGAGCCAUGCACGGAGCAAUGUGCUCAGCAAUGCACGGAGCAAUGUGCUCAGCAAUGCACGGAGCAAUGUGCUCAGCAAUGCCCAGAGCAAUGCAUGGAGCAAGGUGCAGAGCAAUGCCCUGAGCAAUAUGCAGAGCAAUGUCUGGAGCAAUGCCUGGAGCAAUGCAAUGUGCACAGCAAUGCCCAGAGUAAUGCACGGUGUAGAGCAAUGCACUGAGCAGUGCACAGAGCAGUGCAUGGAGCAAUGCCUGGAGCAGUGUGCACAGUAAUGCACGGUGCAGAGCAAUGCACAGAGCAAUGCAUGGAGUAAUGCACAGAGCAAGGCACAGAGCAAUGCCCUGAGCAAUGCAAUGUGCACGGCAAUGCCCAGAGUAAUGCACGGUGCAGAGCAAUGCACGGAGCAGUGCAUGGAGCAGUGCAAUGUGCACAGCAAUGCCUGGAGCAAUGUGCACAGCAAUGCCCAGAGCAAUGCACGGUACAGAGCAAUGCCCAGAGCAAUGCACUGAGCAAUGCACAGGGCAGUGCAUGGAGCAAUGCCUGGAGCAGUGUGCACAGUAAUGCACGGUGCAGAGCAAUGUCUGGAGCAAUGCAAUGUGCACAGCAAUGCAUGGAGCAAGGCGCAGAGCAAUGUCUGGAGCAAUGCAAUGUGCACAGCAAUGCCCAGAGCAAUGCACGGUGCAAUGCCCGGCACAGAGCAAUGCCCGGCACAGAGCAAUGCAUGCAUGGUGCAGAGCAAUGCCCAGCACAGAGCAAUGCAUGGUGCAGAGCAAUGCCCAGCACAGAGCAACACAUGGUACAGAGCAAUGCCCAGCACAGAGCAAUGCAUGGUGCAGAGCAAUGCCCAGCGUGGAGCAAUGCAUGCAUGGCACAGAGCAAUGCAUGCANACAGAGCAAUGCCCAGCACAGAGCAAUGCAUGGUAUGGAGCAGUGCAUGGCACAGAGCAAUGCAUGCAUGGUACAGAGCAAUGCAUGGUACGGAGCAAUGCCCAGCACAGAGCAAUGCAUGCAUGGUGCAGAGCAAUGCCCAGCACAGAGCAAUGCAUGCAUGGUGCAGAGCAAUGCCCAGCACAGAGCAAUGCAUGCAUGGUGCAGACCAAUGCCCAGCACAGAGCAAUGCAUGCAUGGUACAGAGUAAUGCUUGGAGCACAGAGCAAUGCAUGGUAUGGAGCAAUGCCCAGCACAGGGCAAUGCUUGGAGCAAUGCCCAGCACAGAGCAAUGCUUGGAGCAAUGCCCAGCAGAGAGCAACGCUUGGAGCAAUGCCCAGCACGGAGCAAUGCUUGGAGCAAUGCCCAGCACGGAGCCAAGCUUGGAGCAAUGCCCAGCACGGAGCCAAGCUUGGAGCAAUGCCCAGCACAGAGCAACGCUUGGAGCAAUGCCCAGCGUGGCGCGCACCGUUGCCAGGUUGAGCUGUGCUCUGUUGUGCUGUGUUGUGCUGUGCUGUGUUGUGCUGUGCACUGUUGUGCUGUGCUGUGUUGCACUGUGCUGUGCAGGAGGAGCAGCUGGAGCGAGGCCAGGAGCCGCCCUGCUCGGAGCAGAACCUUACUCAGAGAUUCCGUGGGGCUGACGCCGUGCGAUGAAAGGGAGCAGCAGCGUCCUCCCCCCCACA
Molecule: long non-coding RNA, 1610 nt
Filed under: Numida meleagris (helmeted guineafowl)
Lineage: Eukaryota; Metazoa; Chordata; Aves; Galliformes; Numididae
Description: lncRNA (ENSNMEG00000001097.1)
Source: RNAcentral